GGAGUGGCGAACGGGUGAGUAACACGUGGGUAACCUGCCCAUCAGAAGGGGAUAACACUUGGAAACAGGUGCUAAUACCGUAUAACAAUCGAAACCGCAUGGUUUUGAUUUGAAAGGCGCUUUCGGGUGUCUCUGAUGGAUGGACCCGCGGUGCAUUAUCUAUUUGGUGAGGUAACGGCUCACCAGGGCCACGAUGCAUACCCCACCUGAGAGGGUGAUCGGCCACAUUGAGACUGAGACACGGCCCAAACUCCUACGGGAGGCAGCAGUAGGGAAUCUUCGGCAAUGGACGAAAGUCUGACCGAGCAACGCCGCGUGAGUGAAGAAGGUUUUCAGAUCGUAAAACUCUGUUGUUAGAGAAGAACAAGGAUGAGAGUAACUGUUCAUCCCUUGACGGUAUCUAACCAGAAAGCCACGGCUAACUACGUGCCAGCAGCCGCGGUAAUACGUAGGUGGCAAGCGUUGUCCGAGAUUUAUUGGGGCGUAAAGCGAGCGCAGGCGGUUUCUUAAGUCUGAUGUGAAAGCCCCCGGCUCAACCGGGGAGGGUCAUUGGAAACUGGGAGACUUGAGUGCAGAAGAGGAGAGUGGAAUUCCAUGUGUAGCGGUGAAAUGCGUAUAUAUAUGGAGGAACACCAGUGGCGAAGGCGACUCUCUGGUCUGUAACUGACGCUGAGGCUCAAAAGCGUGGGGAGCAAACGGGAUUAUAUCCCCUGGUAGUCCACGCCGUAAACGAUGAGUGCU
RNAcentral lists this ribosomal RNA (741 nucleotides) under Enterococcus thailandicus. Its description in RNAcentral is "bacterial SSU rRNA". It matches the Rfam family "Bacterial small subunit ribosomal RNA", at positions 92 to 817 of the family's 1533-position model. The record is from RNAcentral. Lineage: Bacteria; Bacillati; Bacillota; Bacilli; Lactobacillales; Enterococcaceae.